GGCCUGGUGGUGUAGUGGUCAACACACUUGCUUUAUCUUCGACAAGUGAAUGGUAAGCAGGAGAUCCCUUGUUCGACUCAAGGUCAGACCA
This is a non-coding RNA of Mycena latifolia, 91 nucleotides long. Lineage: Eukaryota; Fungi; Basidiomycota; Agaricomycetes; Agaricales; Mycenaceae. The record is from the annotation of a GenBank genome assembly.